Molecule: ribosomal RNA, 301 nt
Filed under: uncultured bacterium
Lineage: Bacteria
Description: partial 16S ribosomal RNA
Rfam family: Bacterial small subunit ribosomal RNA
Source: RNAcentral
CAGCAGCCGCGGGAAUACGAAGGGGGCUAGCGUUACUCGGAAUUACUGGGCGUAAAGGGCGCGUAGGUGGCACGAUUAGUCAGGCGUGAAAUUCCUGGGCUCAACCUGGGGACUGCGCUUGAUACGGUCGAGCUAGAGGAUGGAAGAGGGUUGUGGAAUUCCCAGUGUAGAGGUGAAAUUCGUAGAUAUUGGGAAGAACACCGGUGGCGAAGGCGGCAACCUGGUCCAUUACUGACGCUGAGGCGCGACAGCGUGGGGAGCAAACAGGAUUAGAUACCCCCGUAGUCCCUGUCUCUUAUAC